This 907-nucleotide long non-coding RNA is filed under the name Homo sapiens (human). RNAcentral's name for it is "non-protein coding lnc-DCUN1D1-6:5". Lineage: Eukaryota; Metazoa; Chordata; Mammalia; Primates; Hominidae. The record is from RNAcentral.
GUGUGAUGGCAUGCCCAUGGCUGUAGAGGACAUUGGGGGUGCUCUGAUUCUCAGGCCCCGGCUUGCUCACCACCCAACUCAUACCCGCCUCAUCGGCUGUUCACACGUGCACUUCCUGAACUACCACAUUCUACAGUGAUAAUAAUGACUGAGUUCUGUCUUAUUCGGUAAAGCUCUUGGGUACAGUGGUGAUCAUGUUACACACAUAUCAAGUGGUGUGGGAAAAAAGCAUCCAGAAGGCAAUUUCAAGCAUGCAAAAUGGGAUCACUGACAUGGAAAAUCAGUGACAUCUGAUUCCCAUUGUGCCAGCCUUCUGUAAAUAUGGACUCGCCCGUUAUCUCUGAUUGAGGCAAUUCGAACUUUAAGUAAGCCUGUCUUUAUCAACUACUGUUUUAACAGCUGAUUAAUUAGUGCUGCAGAGAUCUAGGGGAGGCCUUUAUCUGAAGAGCAGUUCAACCAUUAGCAAAGGAAACUUCCUUGUGCACCAGCGGCUCAGAUAACAAGUUGGCUACCUUGUUGCCCCAGGGCACCUGUCUUGGGGAUAACCAAGAAUGUGGAUGGUGAUGGCCAUGGUGCAAGACUCAGCUUCAGUGGGGGCUGCUCCCAGGAUGUCGGGCUCACGGACCCCUCUCAUUGAUGCCAGUCUCAGGUGGCUCUAUCCCUGGAAGAACAUUCAGGUCAUUUUUGCAUCAUUUGAUCCUUGAAACUAUACUAAGAAGGGGUCAGAGUGAUAUCACCGUUUUCUCAAAUGUGAGAAUGAACACUGGCAAGAUAAAGUGACUUAUUCAAACGUACCCAGAGAGCUGAUGAGAAAGUCAAGCCUAGGAAGCAUGUAAGUCUCAUUCAUUCAUUCAUCAGUUCGUUGAAUAUCUUAUGGGUUUGGUGCCAGGGAUACUAUAGUAGCAAA